This 245-nucleotide ribosomal RNA is filed under the name uncultured bacterium. RNAcentral describes it as "partial 16S ribosomal RNA". It matches the Rfam family "Bacterial small subunit ribosomal RNA", at positions 524 to 768 of the family's 1533-position model. The record is from RNAcentral.
AACGUAGGGGGCAAGCGUUGUUCGGAAUUACUGGGCGUAAAGCGCGUGUAGGCGGCUUGGCAAGUCGGAAGUGAAAGCCCUCGGCUCAACCGGGGAACUGCUUUCGAAACUGCCAGGCUUGAGUGCGGGAGGGGAGAGCGGAAUUCCCGGUGUAGCGGUGAAAUGCGUAGAUAUCGGGAAGAACACCGGUGGCGAAGGCGGCUCUCUGGACCGUGACUGACGCUGAGACGCGAAAGCGUGGGGAG